This 445-nucleotide ribosomal RNA is filed under the name uncultured bacterium. RNAcentral's name for it is "SSU rRNA". It matches the Rfam family "Bacterial small subunit ribosomal RNA", at positions 26 to 518 of the family's 1533-position model. The record is from RNAcentral.
AGAGCGAACGCUGGCGGCAGGCCUAAUACAUGCAAGUCGAACGGAUCCUUCGGGAUUAGUGGCGGACGGGUGAGUAACACGUGGGAACGUGCCCUUUGGUUCGGAACAACUCAGGGAAACUUGAGCUAAUACCGGAUGUGCCCUUCGGGGGAAAGAUUUAUCGCCAUUGGAGCGGCCCGCGUCUGAUUAGCUAGUUGGUGGGGUAAAGGCCCACCAAGGCGACGAUCAGUAGCUGGUCUGAGAGGAUGAUCAGCCACACUGGGACUGAGACACGGCCCAGACUCCUACGGGAGGCAGCAGUAGGGAAUCUUGCGCAAUGGGCGAAAGCCUGACGCAGCCAUGCCGCGUGAAUGAUGAAGGUCUUAGGAUUGUAAAAUUCUUUCAGCGGGGACGAUAAUGACGGUACCGCAGAAGAAGCCCCGGCUAACUUCGCGCCAGCAGCCGC